AAGUUCCUGUGGGGUUUGUAGCGGGCUAAUUUGUUUUCACCCAACGCAACCCAUACGGGAAUCCGGGUUCAUCAGUGGAUGAAAUGCCUGGGAAACCAGGACUUCAGAAGCUGGUGACAGGGUACCCACCUGCGAGAGCAGGGAUGAAAACAUAGCCGUACGGCUCCGUGGGUAAAGU
Molecule: non-coding RNA, 178 nt
Rfam family: 6S / SsrS RNA
About the family: E. coli 6S RNA was the first non coding RNA to be sequenced, but its function was unknown until recently.
Source: Rfam